Sinocyclocheilus rhinocerous is the source of this 490-nucleotide long non-coding RNA. RefSeq lists it as uncharacterized. Lineage: Eukaryota; Metazoa; Chordata; Actinopteri; Cypriniformes; Cyprinidae. The transcript is spliced from 3 exons. The record is from RefSeq and is a predicted model, not a curated record.
UCAGUAUUACAGCAGAAGGUUGUGCUGCUCUGGCGUCAGCAUUUCAUUCAAACCCUUCAAACCUGAAAGAGCUGGAUCUGAGUGGAAAUAAACUAGAAAACUCUGGAGUGACUGAAAUCUCAACUUUACUGGCAAACUCUCAGUGCACACUGCAGAUACUCAGUCUUUCAGACUGCAGUAUCACUGAAGAAGGUUAUAAAGCUCUGGCUUCAGCUCUGAGAUCAAACCCUUCACACCUGAUAGAGCUGGAUCUCACAGGAAAUGAUCCUGGACAAUCAGGAGUGAAGCAGCUCAGUGAUUUACUACAGGAUCCAAACUAUCAGCUGAAGACACUGAGGUUUUUGGGUCCUGCUGCAGAUGAAGCCUGUAAAUAUCUGAAUGAAGUUCUUCACAUUAAAAACUCAUUACUCCUGAGAGAGCUGAAUCUGAGUGAACAUGAACUAGGAGACACACGCGUGAAUCAGAUCACUGCUCUACUGCAGGAUAAACA